UUCCGGUUGAUCCUGCCGGAGGCACCGCUAUCGGAGUCCGACUAAGCCAUGCGAGUCUUGGUAGGCUUUGCCUACCGGCGGACGGCUCAGUAACACGUGGACAACCUGCCCUCGGGAGGGGGAUAACCCCGGGAAACUGGGAAUAAACCCCCAUAGGUCACGGAUGCUGGAAGGCGCCGUGACCGAAAUUCCGAAAGGAGCCCGAGGAUGGGUCUGCGGCCUAUCAGGUUGUAGUGGGGGUAACGGCCCCACUAGCCUACGACGGGUACGGGCCCUGAGAGGGGGAGCCCGGAGAUGGACUCUGAGACACGAGUCCAGGCCCUACGGGGCGCAGCAGGCGCGAAAACUCCGCAAUGCUCGAAAGAGCGACGGGGGGACUCCGAGUGCCUACGCUUUGCGUAGGCUUUUCCCGAGCCUACAAAGCUCGGGGAAUAAGGGCUGGGUAAGACGGGUGCCAGCCGCCGCGGUAAUACCCGCAGCUCGAGUGGUGGCCACUUUUAUUGGGCCUAAAGCGUCCGUAGCCGGUCUGGUAAAUGCCUGGGUAAAUCGUAGGGCUUAACCCUACGGCUCCCAGGUAGACUGCCAGACUUGGGACCGGAGGAGGGAGAGGGUACUCCAGGGGUAGGGGUGAAAUCAGCAAGGUGAGUUGCUGAGGUAACUUGCCUUGCAAGUCACAAUCCUGUAAUCCCUGGAGGACCACCGGUGGCGAAGGCGCUCUCCUAGGACGGGUCCGACGGUGAGGGACGAAAGCCAGGGGAGCAAACCGGAUUAGAUACCCGGGUAGUCCUGGCCGUAAACGAUGUGGACUUGGUAUUGGGAUGGCUACGAGCUGUCCCAGUGUCGUAGGGAAGCCGUUAAGUCCACCGCCUGGGGAGUACGGUCGCAAGGCUGAAACUUAAAGGAAUUGGCGGGGGAGCACUGCAACGGGAGGAGCGUGCGGUUUAAUUGGAUUCAACGCCGGGA
This 963-nucleotide ribosomal RNA is filed under the name uncultured archaeon. RNAcentral's name for it is "bacterial SSU rRNA". It matches the Rfam family "Archaeal small subunit ribosomal RNA", at positions 1 to 923 of the family's 1478-position model. The record is from RNAcentral.